RNAcentral lists this ribosomal RNA (428 nucleotides) under uncultured bacterium. RNAcentral's name for it is "bacterial SSU rRNA". It matches the Rfam family "Bacterial small subunit ribosomal RNA", at positions 355 to 775 of the family's 1533-position model. The record is from RNAcentral.
UCGAGAAUCUUUCUCAAUGGGCGCAAGCCUGAAGGAGCGACGCCGCGUGGGGGAUGAAGGGCUUCGGCCUGUAAACCCCUGUCAUUUGCGAACAAGGUCGGCAGUUUAAGAGACAGUCGGCUUGAUGGUAGCGAAAGAGGAAGGGACGGCUAACUCUGUGCCAGCAGCCGCGGUAAUACAGAGGUCCCAAGCGUUGUUCGGAUUCACUGGGCGUAAAGGGUGCGUAGGUGGUGGGGAAAGUUCGAUGUGAAAGCUCCGAGCUUAACUCGGAAAUGGCAUUGAAAACUACCUUGCUCGAGGGUUGGAGGGGGGACUGGAAUUCUCGGUGUAGCAGUGAAAUGCGUAGAUAUCGAGAGGAACACCAGUGGCGAAGGCGAGUCCCUGGACAACUCCUGACACUGAGGCACGAAAGCUAGGGGAGCAAACAG